This 468-nucleotide ribosomal RNA is filed under the name uncultured bacterium. Its description in RNAcentral is "partial 16S ribosomal RNA". It matches the Rfam family "Bacterial small subunit ribosomal RNA", at positions 28 to 507 of the family's 1533-position model. The record is from RNAcentral.
GACGAACGCUGGCGGCGUGCUUAACACAUGCAAGUCGAACGGAAAGGCCCUGCUUUUGUGGGGUGCUCGAGUGGCGAACGGGUGAGUAACACGUGAGUAACCUGCCCUUGACUUUGGGAUAACUUCAGGAAACUGGGGCUAAUACCGGAUAGGAGCUCCUGCUGCAUGGUGGGGGUUGGAAAGUUUCGGCGGUUGGGGAUGGACUCGCGGCUUAUCAGCUUGUUGGUGGGGUAGUGGCUUACCAAGGCUUUGACGGGUAGCCGGCCUGAGAGGGUGACCGGCCACAUUGGGACUGAGAUACGGCCCAGACUCCUACGGGAGUCAGCAGUGGGGAAUAUUGCACAAUGGGCGGAAGCCUGAUGCAACAACGCCGCGUGCGGGAUGACGGCCUUCGGGUUGUAAACCGCUUUCGCCUGUGACGAAGCGUGAGUGACGGUAAUGGGUAAAGAAGCACCGGCUAACUACGUG